GGAGAAAACAGAGAGAGAAAGAGUUUAAUGAUAAGAAUUGAGUUCCUGCUCAAGCAUUGUGGUUGCCUUUAGGCACGAACCAAUCACUAAGUCUAGUUUUAUAGUAUUAUUGAGAUACAAUUAAUCAAUCUGCGACUGUCAAAAUGUCAUUCUGUCUAUGUGCAGCAUCAAAAGUAUUAAAACGCGAUACAACAAAGGCACCGAGGGCUGAAGAAUGCCAGAAGACAUGCCAGACUAAUGCUGCCAUGUGUGAAGAAAGCAAGUCAUAUGGAUUUGGAACAACAUGCGGCAUUUUCCCUGCUUGGUUUCCUUUCAACAGCAGCAAUGGGCAGUAAAAAUGGCUGGAUGAUUCUCAGAUGAUCAGGUUCACUGCAUCCUCUUGCCUGAUUUAACUUAGUAGAGGGUUGGCCAUGGAGAUAUCUUUACCUCUGUUGACUGAGUAAACUGUGUAGAGUGAAACUACAGCUGCUGGAUCACAUGUUUGUGUGUACAAGAGGGAAAUUACAGAUGGAUAUUGACUGUAAGUGUGGCGAAGGUGCUGGGAAGUAUUUGAAAUCACAUGAUUCUGAAAUGCUAUUGACAGGUGUCUUUAUUCCUUUACUUUAUUGAGUGUCCAAAUUGGCCAUAUAAUUGCUGAUAGAUGGAUGCAUCUCAAGCUUCAUGGCAGUAAAAGAAAAUCAUAAAGACUUACCAUUUAACUUAGAAACUCUUAUGGGAAUCCCACUUAACAAAUGUAUUACAGUGUAACUAAUGCAGGACAAUAGUUCACUCAAAUUAUUUUUUUAAUUUGCUUUGUUCGGGAGGGUUGGAUUUGUUUUAAAUGGUGCUUGAACUGUGCAGAUAUCUCUCCUGAUUCAGACAAGAUUACACUGAAGAAACCAGUAUUAUGAAUUGAGGACUCAUA
This is a long non-coding RNA of Carassius auratus (goldfish), 904 nucleotides long. RefSeq lists it as uncharacterized. The record is from RefSeq and is a predicted model, not a curated record. Lineage: Eukaryota; Metazoa; Chordata; Actinopteri; Cypriniformes; Cyprinidae. The transcript has 3 exons.